RNAcentral lists this ribosomal RNA (499 nucleotides) under uncultured bacterium. RNAcentral's name for it is "partial 16S ribosomal RNA". It matches the Rfam family "Bacterial small subunit ribosomal RNA", at positions 28 to 507 of the family's 1533-position model. The record is from RNAcentral.
GAUGAACGCUGGCGGCGUGCCUAAUACAUGCAAGUCGAGCGAACAGACGAGAGUGCUUGCACUCUCUGACGUUAGCGGCGGACGGGUGAGUAACACGUGGGUAACCUACCUAUAAGACUGGGAUAACUUCGGGAAACCGGAGCUAAUACCGGAUAAUAUUUAGCUUCGCAUGAAGCAAUAGUGAAAGACGGUCCUGCUGUCACUUAUAGAUGGACCCGCGGUGUAUUAGCUAGUUGGUGAGGUAACGGCUCACCAAGGCAACGAUACAUAGCCGACCUGAGAGGGUGAUCGGCCACACUGGGACUGAGACACGGCCCAGACUCCUACGGGAGGCAGCAGUAGGGAAUCUUCCGCAAUGGACGAAAGUCUGACGGAGCAAUGCCGCGUGAGUGAAGAAGGUUUUCGGAUCGUAAAACUCUGUUGUAAGGGAAGAACAAGUACGUUAGUAACUGAACGUACCUUGACGGUACCUUACCAGAAAGCCACGGCUAACUACGUG